AGAGUUUGAUCCUGGCUCAGGACGAACGUUGGCGGCGUGCCUAAUACAUGCAAGUCGAGCGCGGGAAGCGAGCUGAUCCCUUCGGGGUGACGCUCGUGGAACGAGCGGCGGACGGGUGAGUAACACGUGGGCAACCUGCCUGUAAGAUCGGGAUAACUCCGGGAAACCGGGGCUAAUACCGGGUAACACUUUCUUUCACAUGAAGGAAAUUUGAAAGAUGGCUUCUCGCUAUCACUUACAGAUGGGCCCGCGGCGCAUUACCUAGUUGGUGAGGUAACGGCUCACCAAGGCGACGAUGCGUAGCCGACCUGAAAGGGUGAUCGGCCACACUGGGACUGAGACACGGCCCAGACUCCUACGGGAGGCAGCAGUAGGGAAUCUUCCGCAAUGGACGAAAGUCUGACGGAGCAACGCCGCGUGAACGAUGAAUGUCUUCGGAUCGUAAAGUUCUGUUGUUAGGGAAGAACAGGUACCGUGCGAAUAGAGCGGUACCUUGACGGUACCUAACGAGGAAGCCCCGGCUAACUACGUGCCAGCAGCCGCGGUAAUACGUAUGGGGCAAGCGUUGUCCGGAAUUAUUGGGCGUAAAGCGCGCGCAGGCGGUUCCUUAAGUCUGAUGUGAAAGCCCACGGCUCAACCGUGGAGGGUCAUUGGAAACUGGGGAACUUGAUGACAGAAUAGGAGAGUGGAAUUCACGUGUAGCGGUGAAAUGCGUAGAUAUGUGGAGGAACACCAGUGGCGAAUGCGACUCUCUGGUCUGUU
Molecule: ribosomal RNA, 762 nt
Filed under: uncultured Halobacillus sp.
Lineage: Bacteria; Bacillati; Bacillota; Bacilli; Caryophanales; Bacillaceae
Description: bacterial SSU rRNA
Rfam family: Bacterial small subunit ribosomal RNA
Source: RNAcentral